GUGAGGAAUAUUGCGCAAUGGAGGCAACUCUGACGCAGCCAUGCCGCGUGCAGGAAGAAGGCGCUACGCGUUGUAAACUGCUUUUAACCGGGAAGAAACCCCAGGACGUGUCCUGGGUUGACGGUACCGGAGGAAUAAGCACCGGCUAACUUCGUGCCAGCAGCCGCGGUAAUACGAAGGGUGCAAGCGUUAUCCGGAUUCAUUGGGUUUAAAGGGUGCGUAGGCGGAGCGUUAAGUCAGUGGUGAAAUCCUGCAGCUUAACUGUAGACUUGCCAUUGAUACUGGCGCUCUUGAGUGCGCUUGAAGUGGGCGGAAUGUGCCGUGUAGCGGUGAAAUGCUUAGAUAUGGCACAGAACACCAAUUGCGAAGGCAGCUCACUAAGGCGAUACUGACGCUGAGGUACGAAAGCGUGGGGAUCGAACAGGAUUAGAUACCCGAGUAGUCC
This 445-nucleotide ribosomal RNA is filed under the name uncultured bacterium. RNAcentral's name for it is "partial 16S ribosomal RNA". It matches the Rfam family "Bacterial small subunit ribosomal RNA", at positions 354 to 796 of the family's 1533-position model. The record is from RNAcentral.